This 610-nucleotide long non-coding RNA is filed under the name Aquila chrysaetos chrysaetos. RNAcentral describes it as "lncRNA (ENSACCG00020008504.1)". Lineage: Eukaryota; Metazoa; Chordata; Aves; Accipitriformes; Accipitridae. The record is from RNAcentral.
CCCCGCCGGCCUGACAGCGCCGGGCGGCUGUUGCCCCCCGUGGCCGAGGCUGGCGGCGAGUAGAGCUCGGCGCCCCGCGGGGCCGACGGCGGAGCGCAGCCGGGGACGCGGCGGUGCUCGCCCGACCCGGACCCGGACCCGGACCCGGACCCGCUGCGCCCACGGGCGCCGAGCGGCCUCUCCGCCUGCCCGCGGGCCGGCAGUAAUGCACGCCCUCUGCGAAACUCCGGCGGUGGCAAAGGCGAGGAGAAGGAGUUAGCUGGCCUGAGGAGAUGCUGUAGCUGUUCUGCUGCUGCCCGCGGGCUUCGCGCCAGCUGCCCCGCCGUCCGGGGACCGCGGUGGGCGGCAGCCCGGGGUCAGAGGGGCUAAAGGACGAGCAAGAGCCGGCCCUGGCGGAGCCUGGCGUUUGUAGAAAGAAUGUCAGCAGCUUUUUAUUAAUGAAGCACUACUUGUUAUGGCCAAUGUGCACAUGAAAUGGAAAGGAAACAGAUUCCAGAAAACAGCUUCUGUUUCAACCUUGCAAGAUGCAGCACGAAGUGGUGAGUACAUACAUGGACUGGGAACUAUCUUGGCAUUGUUUUUGAACAACUAGAUAAGAAAAAAACAUUUG